UCAAUGAGUGCCUUUGUCAAGGG
RNAcentral lists this non-coding RNA (23 nucleotides) under Arabidopsis thaliana (thale cress). Lineage: Eukaryota; Viridiplantae; Streptophyta; Magnoliopsida; Brassicales; Brassicaceae. The record is from RNAcentral.